AUGACGGUACCGUAAGAAUAAGCACCGGCUAACUACGUGCCAGCAGCCGCGGUAAUACGUAGGGUGCAAGCGUUAAUCGGAAUUACUGGGCGUAAAGCGUGCGCAGGCGGUUUUGUAAGACAGGCGUGAAAUCCCCGGGCUCAACCUGGGAAUUGCGCUUGUGACUGCAAGGCUGGAGUGCGGCAGAGGGGGAUGGAAUUCCGCGUGUAGCAGUGAAAUGCGUAGAUAUGCGGAGGAACACCGAUGGCGAAGGCAAUCCCCUGGGCCUGCACUGACGCUCAUGCACGAAAGCGUGGGGAGCAAACAGGAUUAGAUACCCUGGUAGUCCACGCCCUAAACGAUGUCAACUGGUUGUUGGGAAUUUACUUUCUCAGUAACGAAGCUAACGCGUGAAGUUGACCGCCUGGGGAGUACGGCCGCAAGGUUGAAACUCAAAGGGCAGCCAACCCGCGAGGGGGAGCCA
Molecule: ribosomal RNA, 463 nt
Filed under: uncultured Hydrogenophaga sp.
Lineage: Bacteria; Pseudomonadati; Pseudomonadota; Betaproteobacteria; Burkholderiales; Comamonadaceae
Description: bacterial SSU rRNA
Rfam family: Bacterial small subunit ribosomal RNA
Source: RNAcentral